AGCGAACGCCGGCGGCAGGCUUAACACAUGCAAGUCGAGCGGGCAUCCUUGUGGUGUCAGCGGCAGACGGGUGAGUAACGCGUGGGAACGUGCCCUUCGGUUCGGAAUAACUCAGGGAAACUUGAGCUAAUACCGGAUACGUGCGAGAGCAGAAAGGUUUAUCUGCCGAAGGAUCGGCCCGCGCCUGAUUAGCUAGUUGGUGAGGUUACGGCUCACCAAGGCGACGAUCAGUAGCUGGUCUGAGAGGAUGAUCAGCCACACUGGGACUGAGACACGGCCCAGACUCCUACGGGAGGCAGCAGUGGGGAAUAUUGGACAAUGGGGGCAACCCUGAUCCAGCCAUGCCGCGUGAGUGAUGACGGCCUUAGGGUUGUAAAGCUCUUUUCUCCGGGACGAUAAUGACGGUACCGGAGGAAUAAGCCCCGGCUAACUUCGUG
RNAcentral lists this ribosomal RNA (437 nucleotides) under uncultured bacterium. Its description in RNAcentral is "partial 16S ribosomal RNA". It matches the Rfam family "Bacterial small subunit ribosomal RNA", at positions 29 to 507 of the family's 1533-position model. The record is from RNAcentral.